UGGGGAAUAUUGCACAAUGGGCGCAAGCCUGAUGCAGCCAUGCCGCGUGUAUGAAGAAGGCCUUCGGGUUGUAAAGUACUUUCAGUCGGGAGGAAGGUGGUAAGGUUAAUAACCUUAUCAAUUGACGUUACCGACAGAAGAAGCACCGGCUAACUCCGUGCCAGCAGCCGCGGUAAUACGGAGGGUGCAAGCGUUAAUCGGAAUUACUGGGCGUAAAGCGCACGCAGGCGGUUGAUUGAGUCAGAUGUGAAAUCCCCGGGCUUAACCCGGGAAUUGCAUCGAAUACUGGUCAGCUAGAGUCUUGUAGAGGGGAGUAGAAUUCCAUGUGUAGCGGUGAAAUGCGUAGAGAUGUGGAGGAAUACCGGUGGCGAAGGCGGCCCCCUGGACAAAGACUGACGCUCAGGUGCGAAAGCGUGGGGAGCAAACAGG
This 429-nucleotide ribosomal RNA is filed under the name Chloroflexota bacterium. Its description in RNAcentral is "Chloroflexi bacterium partial 16S ribosomal RNA". It matches the Rfam family "Bacterial small subunit ribosomal RNA", at positions 355 to 776 of the family's 1533-position model. The record is from RNAcentral. Lineage: Bacteria; Bacillati; Chloroflexota.